This 496-nucleotide ribosomal RNA is filed under the name uncultured bacterium. Its description in RNAcentral is "partial 16S ribosomal RNA". It matches the Rfam family "Bacterial small subunit ribosomal RNA", at positions 28 to 507 of the family's 1533-position model. The record is from RNAcentral.
GAUGAACGCUGGCGGCGUGCCUAAUACAUGCAAGUCGAGCGAACGGACGAGAAGCUUGCUUCUCUGAUGUUAGCGGCGGACGGGUGAGUAACACGUGGAUAACCUACCUAUAAGACUGGGAUAACUUCGGGAAACCGGAGCUAAUACCGGAUAAUAUUUUGAACCGCAUGGUUCAAAAGUGAAAGACGGUCUUGCUGUCACUUAUAGAUGGAUCCGCGCUGCAUUAGCUAGUUGGUAAGGUAACGGCUUACCAAGGCAACGAUGCAUAGCCGACCUGAGAGGGGGAUCGGCCACACUGGAACUGAGACACGGUCCAGACUCCUACGGGAGGCAGCAGUAGGGAAUCUUCCGCAAUGGGCGAAAGCCUGACGGAGCAACGCCGCGUGAGUGAUGAAGGUCUCGGAUCGUAAAACUCUGUUAUUAGGGAAGAACAUAUGUGUAAGUAACUGUGCACAUCUUGACGGUACCUAAUCAGAAAGCCACGGCUAACUACGUG